Non-coding RNA from Rhodocollybia butyracea, 96 nucleotides. NCBI's taxonomy places the organism in Eukaryota, Fungi, Basidiomycota, Agaricomycetes, Agaricales, Omphalotaceae. The record is from the annotation of a GenBank genome assembly.
GGCCGACUAGCUCAGUUGGUUAGAGCGUCGUGCUAAUAUUGCGCAGGUAACUGAUGUAUUACGCGAAGGUCUUGGGUUCGAUCCCCACGUUGGCCA